GACGAACGCUGGCGGCGUGCCUAAUACAUGCAAGUAGGACGCUGAAGAGAGGAGCUUACUCUUCUUGGAUGAGUUGCGAACGGGUGAGUAACGCGUAGGUAACCUGCCUUGUAGCGGGGGAUAACUAUUGGAAACGAUAGCUAAUACCGCAUAACAAUGGAUGACACAUGUCAUUUAUUUGAAGGGGGCAAUUGCUCCACUACAAGAUGGACCUGCGUUGUAUUAGCUAGUAGGUGGGGUAAUGGCUAACCUAGGCGACGAUACAUAGCCGACCUGAGAGGGGGAUCGGCCACACUGGGACUGAGACACGGCCCAGACUCCUACGGGAGGCAGCAGUAGGGAAUCUUCGGCAAUGGGGGCAACCCUGACCGAGCAACGCCGCGUGAGUGAAGAAGGUUUUCGGAUCGUAAAGCUCUGUUGUAAGUCAAGAACGGGUGUGAGAGUGGAAAGUUCACACUGUGACGGUAGCUUACCAGAAAGGGACGGCUAACUACGUG
This 497-nucleotide ribosomal RNA is filed under the name uncultured bacterium. RNAcentral describes it as "partial 16S ribosomal RNA". It matches the Rfam family "Bacterial small subunit ribosomal RNA", at positions 28 to 507 of the family's 1533-position model. The record is from RNAcentral.